CCCAAAUGCACCUGGAGUGACCCUGAAUGAUUUAGUCGCGUGUCGCCGCAGUUGUGUUGAAGCCAAUGCAAUUCUCCCCAAAUAAAAGUGGAACCAAGCUAUCCAGUGGCUCUCUGGCUCUAAACCAAUAUUGAUAAUUCAUCUGAUCUUAAUAAAUUGGUAUCAUAGUGAUCUUGAUGGUCACAUCUGGGUACAAUCUAGCCCGCCUUCAUUUUUAGGAUAUUGGUCAAUAAUAUUCCAAAUUUCUUAAAAUAGUGCUGCUGACCACUGCCCAUUAACACGUAAUUCCCUUCAAUGAAAAGAUACCAAUGUGGCAACUUAACAUAUCAUCAACAGAUCUUAAUUCUUCUUCCGACACUUAUCAUCUCACUUUUAUAGUUCAUUUUCCUGAUGGCUGCUGGCUAAGAUUCAUUAUUCGGAACAAUUAGCAAGUUGGAGAGUCUCGCUGGAGGCUGUCGUCUCAAGAAAGUAACAAAUCUUGCCUCUACACAUUUUGCUCUGGAGCCUCUUGGUUAUUUUUUUAAAACCUCAUCUUUUAGUUCCCCUCAGGGAUUCUAAUGAAGAUAUCAGCCAUCUGUUAAGUAAAGGGAAUAAGGGACUGGAGCACAAAAAUAUCAACACCAGGAACAAUCUGUAUAUUUGUUUGUAGUUGAUGAGCACCAGCUCCAACUGCAAAAUAAUGAAGAACUUCACUAAAUGUUUCACUUUUUGCCCCUAAAAAAAAUGACUUAUGUACAAACCAUAUCCAAAAAUAAAGAAAAAUUU
Molecule: long non-coding RNA, 765 nt
Filed under: Marmota monax (woodchuck)
Lineage: Eukaryota; Metazoa; Chordata; Mammalia; Rodentia; Sciuridae
Source: RNAcentral